GAUGAACGCUAGCGGGAGGCCUAACACAUGCAAGCCGAGCGGGAUUUGUUGGUUAGCUUGCUAACUAACAAUGAGAGCGGCGUACGGGUGCGUAGCACGUGUGCAACCUGCCUUUAUCUGGGGGAUAGCCUUUCGAAAGGAAGAUUAAUACCCCAUAACAUAUUGAUUGGCAUCAGUUAAUAUUGAAAGCUCCGGCGGAUAGAGAUGGGCACGCGUAAGAUUAGCUAGUUGGUGAGGUAACGGCUCACCAAGGCUGCGAUCUUUAGGGGGCCUGAGAGGGUGAUCCCCCACACUGGUACUGAGACACGGACCAGACUCCUACGGGAGGCAGCAGUGAGGAAUAUUGGACAAUGGGUGAGAGCCUGAUCCAGCCAUCCCGCGUGAAGGACUAAGGACCUAUGGGUUGUAAACUUCUUUUAGACAGGGAUAAACCUACUCUCGUGAGGGUAGCUGAAGGUACUGUAUGAAUAAGCACCGGCUAACUCCGUG
This 489-nucleotide ribosomal RNA is filed under the name uncultured bacterium. RNAcentral's name for it is "partial 16S ribosomal RNA". It matches the Rfam family "Bacterial small subunit ribosomal RNA", at positions 28 to 507 of the family's 1533-position model. The record is from RNAcentral.